AAGACUAUACUUUCAGGGGUCAUUUCUAUAGUUCAUUACUAGAGAAGUUUCUCUGAACAUCCAGAGCACCUAAGAUGUGUCCAUUCUCCUGA
This is a small nucleolar RNA of Pongo abelii (Sumatran orangutan), 92 nucleotides long. Its record names the gene U3. It matches the Rfam family "Small nucleolar RNA U3". Rfam says of the family: Small nucleolar RNAs (snoRNAs) are involved in the processing and modification of rRNA in the nucleolus. There are two main classes of snoRNAs: the box C/D class, and the box H/ACA class. NCBI's taxonomy places the organism in Eukaryota, Metazoa, Chordata, Mammalia, Primates, Hominidae. The record is from Ensembl.